UACGUAGGGUGCGAGCGUUAAUCGGAAUUACUGGGCGUAAAGCGCACGUAGGCGGCUUUGCAAGUUAGAGGUGAAAGCCCGGGGCUCAACUCCGGAAUUGCCUUUAAGACUGCAUCGCUAGAAUUGUGGAGAGGUAAGUGGAAUUCCGAGUGUAGAGGUGAAAUUCGUAGAUAUUCGGAAGAACACCAGUGGCGAAGGCGACUUACUGGACACAUAUUGACGCUGAGGUGCGAAAGCGUGGGGAGCAAACAGG
RNAcentral lists this ribosomal RNA (253 nucleotides) under uncultured bacterium. RNAcentral's name for it is "partial 16S ribosomal RNA". It matches the Rfam family "Bacterial small subunit ribosomal RNA", at positions 524 to 776 of the family's 1533-position model. The record is from RNAcentral.